CCUUACAGAACCGGAUGAAGUCAGAGAACUCACUGUAACUGAAAUCACCACUUCCUCUGUUCCUCUGAGCUCCACUGAACCAUUAGGAAAAAGCUCCUCCAAUACAGUAGAAUGGUCAGAUGGAUCAACUACUCUAAAUCCCAUUGUGACUAAUAAGAGCACGACUAUAUCUAACCUGACUACUGGUGUCCUGAAUAACACAAGUGUCACAGCCAUGACAGCAGAUAACCAAACUAAUGAAAAUAGUGCAUUUACCUCCAGUUAUACAAAACCGGAUGAAGUCAGAGAACUCACUGUUACUGAAAUCACCACUUCCUCUGUUCCUCUGAGCUCCACUGAACCAUUAGGACAAAGCUCCUCCAAUACAGUAGAAUGGUCAGAUGGAUCAACUACUCUAAAUCCCAUUGUGACUAAUAAGAGCACGACUAUAUCUAACCUGACUACUGGUGUCCUGAAUAACACAAGUGUCACAGCCAUGACAGCAGAUAACCAAACUAAUGAAAAUAGUGCAUUUACCUCCAGUUAUACAAAACCGGAUGAAGUCAGAGAACUCACUGUUACUGAAAUCACCACUUCCUCUGUUCCUCUGAGCUCGACUGAACCAUUAGGACAAAGCUCCUCCAAUACAGUAGAAUGGUCAGAUGGAUCAACUACUCUAAAUCCCAUUGUGACUAAUAAGAGCACGACUAUAUCUAACCUGACUACUGGUGUCCUGAAUAACACAAGUGUCACAGCCAUGACAGCAGAUAACCAAACUAAAGAAAAUAGUGCAUUUACCUCCAGUUAUACAAGUAAGUAAACAUAGAAACCACUUAAACUUGCUGAGAGAUGUGCAACAAAAUACCUUAAAUUAGUCCUAUACCUAUGAAGGAAAUAGUAGAAAAUCA
Molecule: long non-coding RNA, 887 nt
Organism: Oryzias melastigma (Indian medaka)
Lineage: Eukaryota; Metazoa; Chordata; Actinopteri; Beloniformes; Adrianichthyidae
Exons: 3
Source: RefSeq, a predicted model, not a curated record